GGGAGUGGUUAAAUGUUAAAUUUUACGAUGUACGUAUUUAACCCCCACACGCCCCAAACAAAUCUGACAAAAGUUAAAGACCAUUCCCUAGGUGUAGCUCUGUUCCUACAUGCAAAAUUUUACAUAUUGUUCCAGGGAGCUCACGGUCUUCUCAGGUUCAUCUGUGGAACCAUUCGACAACCAAAUGUUAUGGGGAAGCCAGUCUCAUGAGCUCCAACACAUUCUUCAGUGCAAUCAGUGGCAAUCCCUGCCCACUUAGGACUUUUCGAAUAGUGCUCAUCCCUGACUUCUGGAUAAACUUCUUUGCAGAAGCCCAUUUGACUCCAAGGACAGAAAAAAAGAGUGCAGGUUGUUAUUAUGCAAAGCCACAGCAUUAAGGAGCUCAAUAUUCUUCUAGAUAUCUGCCCUCCUGUCUGAGAAUCCCAUACUUAGAGUAUAGCAGGUCCCAUCUCCAUUUGGGAUGGUGGUGGUGGAAAAGGGGGCGUCUCUGAUGAGCAGAGCAUCUUUAAUGCCUGCUCAGGCCAGAGCCCCUUUCCAAAGACUUCGAGACUGCCGUGGGCCUGCUGACUCCUCUCACGCUUUCAAGCUACAGUGCUUCCCAUCACAUUGCAGAAGGCCGCCUUGGGUCAUAUCUCGCAAAGGAAGAGCUAUUAACAAAUAUUCCAUUUGUAUUUCCUGCGUGGCCCUCCAUCUGGAAAUAUCUUUUAUCUGGCAACUUUUGCAAAAUGAACCAAAUCUUGAAGGAGGUCUUGGCAGGUUUAUGCUAGCCUCUCUAUCACUCCAACAAGUCAUUUCCAUCCUCGCCUUCACAAGGGUCAAGCAAUUGUGACUUGGGUUGGGAGACGGGGCUGGCACGGAAUGGUAGCAAGUCAUCUAGGCUCUGAGGCAUCUUUUUAACCCUGAAAACGUCCACUUGGAGGGCAAGAGCCAAAUCUAAAAAAUUAUUAUACACACUGUCUCUCAGCUCAAAUAUGUAUGCUCUCACUCCAAGUUCAGAUCACAAUUUACAAUUCCGCAUUUUGUAAUUGUUAAGUGCAGUCUGGCUUCCCCAAAGACCUCAAGCUCAUUCUGCCCAGGAUUAAAUCCAAGAGCCUUCUUAGCCCAGUUUCUGGCAUGCAGGAAGCAUACAAUAAUGGAAGAAAUGAAUGAAUGAACAAA
This is a long non-coding RNA of Homo sapiens (human), 1158 nucleotides long. The record is from Ensembl. Lineage: Eukaryota; Metazoa; Chordata; Mammalia; Primates; Hominidae.